Molecule: long non-coding RNA, 249 nt
Filed under: Lathyrus oleraceus (garden pea)
Lineage: Eukaryota; Viridiplantae; Streptophyta; Magnoliopsida; Fabales; Fabaceae
Description: Pisum sativum (pea) long non-coding RNA (PSAT_LNC018856)
Source: RNAcentral
UUUCUUCCACGGGAGGCAUUAGAAUCGGAGGUUCCUGCAACUUAUUCUUUUUUCAUUUUUCCAUGCCCCUUGGCAGUCAUCAUUCCACCUGACCAUUGAUUUCUUUUGUUUUCUUUUUUUUCGGUUCAGGCGUUUCUAGUAUUGUUUUUUUUUCUUUUCUUUUUUUUGCAGGAAAAACCUCGAUUCCUCUUUCAUUCACAACAUGCCUCGGCAGCUUGCUGGACAGCACUCCAUAAGUGCACUGACUUA